Molecule: ribosomal RNA, 291 nt
Filed under: uncultured bacterium
Lineage: Bacteria
Description: partial 16S ribosomal RNA
Rfam family: Bacterial small subunit ribosomal RNA
Source: RNAcentral
GUGGAUUAGAUACCCUGGUAGUCCACGCUGUAAACGAUGAAUACUAGGUGUGCGGGGACUGACCCCCUGCGUGCCGCAGCUAACGCAAUAAGUAUUCCACCUGGGGAGUACGAUCGCAAGGUUGAAACUCAAAGGAAUUGACGGGGGCCCGCACAAGCGGUGGAUUAUGUGGUUUAAUUCGAAGCAACGCGAAGAACCUUACCAGGGCUUGACAUCCUACUAACGAAGUAGAGAUACAUCAGGUGCCCUUCGGGGAAAGUAGAGACAGGUGGUGCAUGGUUGUCGACAGCU